GGCAAAGAUGAAGAGUGCUUCAUUAUUUCUGACACCUCUUGUAUGAGGAGAGCUUUCCUUAAAGCUCUUCUUUGAGCACAGACAGCAACUCUCUGAGCC
Molecule: small nucleolar RNA, 99 nt
Filed under: Cephalotus follicularis
Lineage: Eukaryota; Viridiplantae; Streptophyta; Magnoliopsida; Oxalidales; Cephalotaceae
Description: Small nucleolar RNA snoR1
Rfam family: Small nucleolar RNA snoR1
About the family: snoR1 is a member of the C/D class of snoRNA which contain the C (UGAUGA) and D (CUGA) box motifs.
Source: Rfam by way of RNAcentral